This 650-nucleotide long non-coding RNA is filed under the name Cottoperca gobio. RNAcentral's name for it is "lncRNA (ENSCGOG00000017537.1)". The record is from RNAcentral. Lineage: Eukaryota; Metazoa; Chordata; Actinopteri; Perciformes; Bovichtidae.
CAAUUAGGUUCUGUGGUCCAGCUGUGGGAGUGGUGCUGAUUCACCGGUUAGACCAGCUGUGGGAGUGGUGCUGAUUCACCGGUUAGACCAGCUGUGGGAAUGGUGCUGUUUCACCGGUCAGACCAGUUGUGGGAGUUGUGCUGUUUCACCGGUCAGACGUACCAUGACAUUGCAGUUUGGUUUGUGACCUGCCAGUAUAAAAGCUCUGGUGCAAGAGGUUUGUCUACAUACAUCCGACAACAUGAAGGUUCAACUUCUCACGCUGCUGCUCCUGCUGUGCAGCACUCAAGUGCUCACACUCAGAUGCUACACCUGUGUAGGUGAAGAUGACGAGGACUGUAAGGUGGAGACAGAGUGCCCGGCAACAGCUCAGUACUGCAUGACCAUGCAAUACGGUGGAGAACUUUCUCGAACUUGUCAGGAUUAUUGUGCCGAAGAUGAUAACACAUAUUGCUGCCAAGAAGACCUCUGCGACCCAUGAGUCAUCCCUCAGCGCUGACUUUCGCUUUCUGAAAAAUGAAAUGAAUAUAUAAGACAAAUGUAUUACUUAAAUCUAAAUCAGAUCGAAGAUGAUUUUUAACUUUAUAGGAUUGUAAUGUGACUAUCCUGUCUUGCUUUUACUUUCAUUAAACUCUACAAAUAUUGAAUCA